Molecule: ribosomal RNA, 493 nt
Filed under: uncultured bacterium
Lineage: Bacteria
Description: bacterial SSU rRNA
Rfam family: Bacterial small subunit ribosomal RNA
Source: RNAcentral
GGCAGGCUUAAUACGAUGCAAGUCGAACGGUAAGGCCCGAAGUGGCAACACGGAAGGUACACGAGUGGCGCACGGGUGCGUAACGCGUAUGCAACCUGCCCCUCACCGGGACAAAACAGCUGGAAACGGCUGCUAAUAUCCCAUGGCUACCGAGGAGGGCAUCCUCCAUGGUAUAAAGAUUCAUUGGUGAGGGAUGGGCAUGCGUAUUAUUAGGUAGUUUGGCGGGGUAACGGACCCACCAAGCCGACGAUGAUUAGGGGUUCUGAGAGGAAAGACCCCCACACUGGAACUGAGACACGGUCCAGACUCCUACGGGAGGCAGCAGUAGGGAAUAUUGGGCAAUGGAGGCAACUCUGACCCAGCCAUUGCCGCGUGAAGGAAUAAGGCCCUAUGGGUCGUAAACUUCUUUUACCGCAGAGUAAACCCGUCCAACGUGUGGGCGGUUGAGAGUAUGCGGGGAAUAAGUAUCGGCUAACUCCGUGCCAGCCGCCGC